This 411-nucleotide unclassified non-coding RNA is filed under the name Hevea brasiliensis (rubber tree). The record is from RNAcentral. Lineage: Eukaryota; Viridiplantae; Streptophyta; Magnoliopsida; Malpighiales; Euphorbiaceae.
GGGAGGAACAAAAAGAGGCAGCAGCAGCAGCAGCUAAAAGUGCAAAUCUAUUUUAGUAGUAAUGACUUUGAUCUUUAGCAGAAACAGGCAAGAGAAGCUGCAAAGGAGAGAAUUAAAAAGGCAAAAGCCAGGGAAAACGAUGAAGAACAAACACAAAAUCUCGCCAACUGAGGCCUAUUGUCGGCCAUAGACAAGCCGUUAAACGCAAGAAAAAAUGCAAAGACGAUGAAAGCUACGAAGGAUUGAAACAUCCAAGGCCAUCUGCUGAAGAUUAUUACUCUUGGAACAGGUUUUCCAUUGAUGUAAUCCAACGGAAACUGCAAGAGACUGGCAGCAGUUAUGGAGCAAACAAGAACGACAGAUUGCAGAACCCGCAUUUGAAGAGGACAUAUUUCCAUGACGAGAAGUUGA